GGCUGAGUACAGAAUAAAGGGGGAGGGGCGGCGGAAGUGACAUCAUAUACCGAUCGUGGAAGAAGGGCACCAGGGAGGAAUAAAUAGAUGGGAGAUAGGAACAAUCUGGCACCCUGACGAAGCCUGACCCACAGGCCAAAUGCGUUAAUUGCUGAGCAACGGAUCCGGACAUGCUAUACGCUGAUCCCCGGAGCUCAGUUCUUAUGGUCUGCCGGACCUCCGCUAUUACUGCAGCAUUCAUCUCCGCCAGCGGGACCAUCGCUCAAAAAGUCUAUAACAACAAGAAGAUCCUUCAAAUUUGGACCUCGUCGAUAUGCGAAUCGAGGUGGUUGCGGGAUUGCUUUAGCCAAAGUUGGAUCUGUGUUGAUCAAGUGCCAAUGUUCAUGAAUCUUCUUAUGGAUAAAGACAGAGGCAGUGGUAUACAUACUAAUGAAGAGACUUCUGGCAGUGUGAUAGUAGCCCCUGACGAAAAGCAUCAAGCAUUGAAACAGCUGUUGGGCUGUAGUACUAGAACUAUACCCAGAUGGAUGGUCUGUAAGGAAUAAACCCUUUUUUGCUUUCAUC
This is a long non-coding RNA of Pseudophryne corroboree (corroboree frog), 564 nucleotides long. RefSeq lists it as uncharacterized. The transcript has 3 exons. Lineage: Eukaryota; Metazoa; Chordata; Amphibia; Anura; Myobatrachidae. The record is from RefSeq and is a predicted model, not a curated record.